GGGGGAUAUUGCGCAAUGGGGGCAACCCUGACGCAGCAACGCCGCGUGAAGGAUGAAGGUUUUCGGAUUGUAAACUUCUUUUAUUAAGGACGAAACUUGACGGUACUUAAUGAAUAAGCUCCGGCUAACUACGUGCCAGCAGCCGCGGUAAUACGUAGGGAGCAAGCGUUGUCCGGAUUUACUGGGUGUAAAGGGUGCGUAGGCGGCUUUGCAAGUCAGAUGUGAAAUCUAUGGGCUCAACCCAUAAACUGCAUUUGAAACUGUAGAGCUUGAGCGAAGUAGAGGCAGGCGGAAUUCCCCGUGUAGCGGUGAAAUGCGUAGAGAUGGGGAGGAACACCAGUGGCGAAGGCGGCCUGCUGGGCUUUAACUGACGCUGAGGCACGAAAGCGUGGGUAGCAAACAGGAUUAGAUACCCUGGUAGUCCACGCUGUAAACGAUGAUUACUAGGUGUGGGGGGUCUGACCCCUUCCGUGCCGGAGUUAACACAAUAAGUAAUCCACCUGGGGAGUACGGCCGCAAGGUUGAAACUCAAAGGAAUUGACGGGGGCCCGCACAAGCAGUGGAGUAUGUGGUUUAAUUCGAAGCAACGCGAAGAACCUUACCAGGUCUUGACAUCCAACUAACGAAGUAGAGAUACAUUAGGUGCCCUUCGGGGAAAGUUGAGACAGGUGGUGCAUGGUUGUCGUCAGCUCGUGUCGUGAGAUGUUGGGUUAAGUCCCGCAACGAGCGCAACCCUUGCUAUUAGUUGCUACGCAAGAGCACUCUAAUAGGACUGCCGUUGACAAAACGGAGGAAGGUGGGGACGACGUCAAAUCAUCAUACCCCUUAUGACCUGGGCUACACACGUACUACAAUGGAUGUUAACAGAGGGAAGCAAGACAGCGAUGUGGAGCAAACCCCUAAAAACAUUCUCAGCUCAGAUUGCAGGCUGCAACCCGCCUGCAUGAAGAUGGAAUUGCUAGUAAUCGCGGAUCAGCAUGCCGCGGUGAAUACGUUCCCG
RNAcentral lists this ribosomal RNA (1000 nucleotides) under uncultured organism. RNAcentral describes it as "bacterial SSU rRNA". It matches the Rfam family "Bacterial small subunit ribosomal RNA", at positions 356 to 1376 of the family's 1533-position model. The record is from RNAcentral.